Non-coding RNA from Biomphalaria glabrata, 72 nucleotides. The record is from Rfam. NCBI's taxonomy places the organism in Eukaryota, Metazoa, Mollusca, Gastropoda, Planorbidae.
GGAGCGGUGGCUGAGCGGUAAAGUGCUUGGCUUCUGAACCGGAGGUACCGGGUUCAAAUCCUGGAUCUUUCG